GGGCCCGCACAAGCGGCGGAGCAUGCGGAUUAAUUCGAUGCAACGCGAAGAACCUUACCUGGGUUUGACAUGUGCGUUUUAGCCGCAGAGAUGUGGUGUCCUUCGGGGGCGUGCACAGGUGGUGCAUGGCUGUCGUCAGCUCGUGUCGUGAGAUGUUGGGUUAAGUCCCGCAACGAGCGCAACCCUCGUUCCAUGUUGCCAGCGGGUUAUGCCGGGGACUCAUGGGAGACUGCCGGGGUCAACUCGGAGGAAGGUGGGGAUGACGUCAAGUCAUCAUGCCCCUUAUGUCCAGGGCUUCACGCAUGCUACAAUGGCCGGUACAAUGGGCUGCGAUGCCGUGAGGUGGAGCGAAUCCCAAAAAGCCGGUCUCAGUUCGGAUCGGGGUCUGCAACUCGACCCCGUGAAGUCGGAGUCGCUAGUAAUCGCAGAUCAGCAGUGCUGCGGUGAAUACGUUCCCGGGCCUU
This 464-nucleotide ribosomal RNA is filed under the name uncultured bacterium. RNAcentral's name for it is "bacterial SSU rRNA". It matches the Rfam family "Bacterial small subunit ribosomal RNA", at positions 917 to 1382 of the family's 1533-position model. The record is from RNAcentral.